This 472-nucleotide non-coding RNA is filed under the name Gongylonema pulchrum. RNAcentral describes it as "Eukaryotic small subunit ribosomal RNA". It matches the Rfam family "Eukaryotic small subunit ribosomal RNA", at positions 653 to 1113 of the family's 1831-position model. The record is from Rfam by way of RNAcentral. Lineage: Eukaryota; Metazoa; Nematoda; Chromadorea; Rhabditida; Gongylonematidae.
GCUUAUUGUUCUUAUCUUUAUUGUUCUUUUGUGUAAAAGAAGCACAUUUACAUACACGCAUGCACCAAUAUUGUUUUGCACCGCAGCCCAAAUUUUGUGGUACCCAAUGAUGUGUUAUCAAUGAUAAUAUAUUUUUACUACAUUUUGUGUUAUUAAAGUACGUUUGCUUCUGUGUGCUGCUUUGCGCCGCACAAUGAAAUAGGUUUUCGGUUCUAUUUUAUUCGUUUUUUUCGGAUAAUGGUUAAGAGGGAGGACAAAGGCAUUCGUAUCGUCGCGACUUGAAAUUCAUAGGUCGUAGCCCGAUUACGAAAGCAUUUGUCAAGAGUAUCCUUAUUAAUCAAGAAUAAAGGUCCGGUUCGAAGGUGGUCAGAUAUCGUUCUAAUUCUGACCUCAAACGAUAUCAACCAGUGUACCGUUGGCGGUGAAUUUCUUCCUAACGGCAGCUUCUCAAAAAUCUUGAGUUAGCAUCGAC